UAACCCUUGAAAAUUAGCUCUUUUUGGGACCUACAAGUCUCAGAGCAAUGCAGAUGUUGUGUGACAAGCAGUCAAGAGCAAAUGUACUUCCUGUUUUUGUAUCCACCCCCUGAUAUUUAAAGAUCAACCUCUCAAGAAACUCAGCACAUUAAGACUUAUCUGAUGUGAUCAUGGAAAAACUCCAAAUGCUCAGUCAACAAAUCGGAAAAUAUCUACUGCUGUUUUUACUUACAGCAUCAGGUGUUAUCUGUCAAGAUUGGAUUCGACCAAGUGACCAGAGGACCAGUGUUUCCAGUACAGAAGGAGAAUCUGUAACACUGGAGUGUUCAUAUGACACAAGCAGCAGCUAUGUUAUCCUUUAUUGGUACAGGCAGUUUUCUAACACACAGCCAGAAUUUGUGCUAGCAAAGGGUGGAAGAUCACAGACAUAUGAGGAUAUACCAGACCCCGAACGAUUUGGAACAACUACGUCCCAGAAAUCCACUUCACUGACCAUUAAAAGUGUAACUCUGUCAGAUUCAGCUCUCUAUUACUGUGCUCUAAGAGUAACAGCCCAGUGUUACAAAGUGCCUGAGAGGCUUUACAAAAACUCACUUAGAAAACUUGCUUUGAACAGCGAGUUAUCAAAUGAAUAUCAAACCACAUUUGUGUCUUUAUAA
Cyprinus carpio (common carp) is the source of this 659-nucleotide non-coding RNA. The record is from the annotation of a RefSeq genome assembly. Lineage: Eukaryota; Metazoa; Chordata; Actinopteri; Cypriniformes; Cyprinidae.